CUGAGAUAUUCUCUGCCAUAAGCUUCUAAGAACUGUGCAUUAAUACUUGUUAUUAGGUAAAGAUCUAAUAAUAUCAUUAAUACUGAAAUAUAAGUGAUUAACAAAAUGUUAUCUUCCACAGGGAUAUUUGCAUUUUAUCAGGCAAACAAAGCCUUAAGCCAAAGAAAUCAGUUUUUCUCACAGAUAUUUUAGUGCAGUCUUCCCUCUGAACUUCUGUCACAUGUGGGAUCCAAUGCUGGACAAGAUCAUGGAGUGACUACUAUUUUUCAUGUUCCCAAAUGCACUUUUGUAAACUACAAAAUAUUAAACAAAAGUGAAUACUCAUUAUCUCUGUGAUCAUAUGAUCAUCUCAAAUUUCUCUGGAGCCAGGAGAAACUGACAGUGGAUAAUCAGAUCAUUGGUGAAGUGGAUUAUAAAAAUGGAUGUUACUUACUGAGGUGUUCCUGAAGUACUCUGUGGCCAUUCUAUGCACUGAGCAACAUGGACUGAGGGACCUCUGGAACUACUGGAAAUGACAGUAUUCUACUAUUCAUAUCAUUCUACAUUUGAAGACACUAUGCCCUCCCCCCUCCCGCCAAGUCCAAGUGCUCUGGGUUUGUGAAGUUUCAUCAUGGAAAAAGUAAAGGUAGAUAUAUGCAUA
This 640-nucleotide long non-coding RNA is filed under the name Canis lupus familiaris (dog). RNAcentral's name for it is "lncRNA (ENSCAFG00845014351.1)". The record is from RNAcentral. Lineage: Eukaryota; Metazoa; Chordata; Mammalia; Carnivora; Canidae.